UAGCAAGCAAUGUCAAUCUAAAAACAGCUUCAAUCAUUUUUCCAUGCUUAACAAUAGUUUCUUAUCUCUUUACAGUCAUUUCCUGUCUUCUGAAGCACUAGGUAGUCACCGUCAAAAACACCAUCCUUGGAGAACGAUUCUGAGGUCAUAAUUUUGGAGCUCUGGAGGAUCAGCUAAACCUCUGUGUGUUUGAGAGAGAAAACAGGGAGCUGCAGAACUGGCUUUUCUCCCUCAAGACCCUGGCUGAGUCAAAAGACUUUGGACAGGACCUGGAGGACGUGGAGGAGAGACUUGGUGGUCAUUGAGGCGGAGGUGUCCUGGACUAAAGAGGGGCAGGGGCUGACCAGGAAGUACCCCCAGGUGCGGGCCAGUCUGAGUGAGAGACCACAGGAAAUGGAGGUGUGCUGGGCAAGUCUGCAGGCCAAGGCCAUCCAACGCAGGAAGAAACUGGGGCAGGCUGAGGCUGUGCAGAGAUAUCUCACAGAAUGGACAGAACUCAUUUGGAGGAGCGUCUUCUGGAGCUGCAGGAGUUGGAGACGCGGGUGCAGGAGGUCUAGGAGGAGUGGAGGCUGUUGUACCAGGAGGAAGUAGAGAUCCUACGGCUACAGAGGGAACUGGAGCAGGCAGAGCACUGGCUCAGUACCUACGAAGCCACUCUGAGGGCAGAGGAGUACGGGGUGAAGACAGCCCAGUUAAACAAAAGCCUUUAGCUCAGCGGGCUAACACACUCUUGUGGUGCACAGAAGACCUGGGUUUGAACUUAGUCACUUACAUAAGUCAUCAUGCUUUCUGAUAAUAGUAUGAAAUAGUUAACAUUUUCUUGAAUUAACGAUUUUUGAUGAUACUGCUGAUUGACUUUAGUCUUAUGUAUUUUCGUUUUUGACACACUAAGUGAAAGUUGGUUAAUCCUGGUUAAAUUGCUCAGUGAUGCCUGUUUUCCUUCCCAGGACUCUGUGUCAGACAUUCUGGAGUGGAUGAAGAAACAGGAGGACUUGGGGGCUAUGAUUCAAGCCCAAAGUGACAGGUUCAGCACCUCACAGAAGAAGAAAACACAGGAGAGUGACAACUGAUGUUACGGCUCUCUACGGUUGUCUGUCAUUUUUUGACAAUGACAAACGAAAAGAUGACUUUUGCAUGAAUACAGUAGAUAACUCACACGUCUAGAUCCAAGAUCACGUAGCAGUGCAGACUGUCACGCCCUGACCAUAGAGAGCUGUUUAUUCUAUAUGUUGGUUGGGGCGUGACAGUGACUAGGGUGGGUUAUCUAGGUGAUUUAUGAUCUAUGUUGGCCUGGUAUGGUUCCCAAUCAGAGGCAGCUGUUUAUCGUCGUCUCUGAUUGGGGAUCAUAUUUAGGCAGCCAUUUCCCCAUUGUGCUUUGUGGGAUCUUGUCUAGGUAUAGGUGCCUGCGAGCACUUCAUUGAGCUUCACGGUUCGUUUAACACGUUAUUUGUUUUUUCUUUUAGUUACUUUUCCUAAUAAAGAGGAUGGAAACAUACCACGCUGCAUCUUGGUCCACUCCUUAUAACG
Molecule: long non-coding RNA, 1527 nt
Filed under: Oncorhynchus kisutch (coho salmon)
Lineage: Eukaryota; Metazoa; Chordata; Actinopteri; Salmoniformes; Salmonidae
Description: lncRNA (ENSOKIG00005017475.1)
Source: RNAcentral